Molecule: transfer RNA, 65 nt
Filed under: Hebardina formosana
Lineage: Eukaryota; Metazoa; Arthropoda; Insecta; Blattodea; Blattidae
Description: tRNA-Phe
Source: RNAcentral
ACUUAAAUAGCUUAUAUUAGAGCAUAACACUGAAGAUGUUAUUGAAAUCAAUAGAUUUUUGAGUA